GGAUUAGAUACCCCACUAUGCCUAGCCCUAAACAUCGAUACUAACCUACUUAUUUUAUCCGCCAGGGUACUACGAGCAUCAGCUUAAAACCCAAAGGACUUGGCGGUGCUUUAGAUCCACCUAGAGGAGCCUGUUCUAGAACCGAUAAUCCCCGUUAAACCUCACCUUUUCUUGCCAUAUCCGCCUAUAUACCGCCGUCGUCAGCUUACUCUGUGAGGAACUUGUAGUAAGCACAACCGGCACAGCCCAAACGUCAGGUCGAGGUNUAGCGAAUGGAAAGGGAAGAAAUGGGCUACAUUCAAUAGUUAUAAUGAAUACGAAUGGUGUCUUGAAAAAGACAUCUGAAGGAGGAUUUAGCAGUAAGCAGUGAAUAGAGUGCCCUGCUGAAAUUGGCCCUGAAGCGCGUACACACCGCCCGUCACUCUCCCCGAGCUAAUAAAGACAAAUUACUAAUAAGCAAAAUCUGCAAAGGGGAGGCAAGUCGUAACAUGGUAAGCGUACCGGAAGGUGCGCUUGG
Molecule: ribosomal RNA, 517 nt
Filed under: Macropharyngodon geoffroy (Geoffroy's wrasse)
Lineage: Eukaryota; Metazoa; Chordata; Actinopteri; Labriformes; Labridae
Description: partial 12S ribosomal RNA
Rfam family: Bacterial small subunit ribosomal RNA
Source: RNAcentral